RNAcentral lists this unclassified non-coding RNA (253 nucleotides) under uncultured Caryophanales bacterium. RNAcentral's name for it is "uncultured Bacillales bacterium contains 16S-23S intergenic spacer region". It matches the Rfam family "Bacterial small subunit ribosomal RNA", at positions 524 to 776 of the family's 1533-position model. The record is from RNAcentral. Lineage: Bacteria; Bacillati; Bacillota; Bacilli; Caryophanales.
UACGUAGGUGGCAAGCGUUGUCCGGAAUUAUUGGGCGUAAAGCGCGCGCAGGCGGUUCUUUAAGUCUGAUGUGAAAUCUUGCGGCUCAACCGCAAGCGGCCAUUGGAAACUGGAGAGCUUGAGUGCAGAAGAGGAGAGCGGAAUUCCACGUGUAGCGGUGAAAUGCGUAGAGAUGUGGAGGAACACCAGUGGCGAAGGCGGCUCUCUGGUCUGUAACUGACGCUGAGGCGCGAAAGCGUGGGGAGCAAACAGG